AUACAUGCAAGUAGAACGCUGAAGACUUUAGCUUGCUAAAGUUGGAAAAGUUGCGAACGGGUGAGUAACGCGUAGGUAACCUGCCUACUAGCGGGGGAUAACUAUUGGAAACGAUAGCUAAUACCGCAUAACAGCAUUUAACACAUGUUAGAUGCUUGAAAGGAGCAAUUGCUUCACUAGUAGAUGGACCUGCGUUGUAUUAGCUAGUUGGUGAGGUAACGGCUCACCAAGGCGACGAUACAUAGCCGACCUGAGAGGGUGAUCGGCCACACUGGGACUGAGACACGGCCCAGACUCCUACGGGAGGCAGCAGUAGGGAAUCUUCGGCAAUGGGGGCAACCCUGACCGAGCAACGCCGCGUGAGUGAAGAAGGUUUUCGGAUCGUAAAGCUCUGUUGUAAGAGAAGAACGUGUGUGAGAGUGGAAAGUUCACACAGUGACGGUAACUUACCAGAAAGGGACGGCUAACUACGUGCCAGCAGCCGCGGUAAUACGUAGGUCCCGAGCGUUGUCCGGAUUUAUUGGGCGUAAAGCGAGCGCAGGCGGUUUAAUAAGUCUGAAGUUAAAGGCAGUGGCUUAACCAUUGUUCGCUUUGGAAACUGUUAGACUUGAGUGCAGAAGGGGAGAGUGGAAUUCCAUGUGUAGCGGUGAAAUGCGUAGAUAUAUGGAGGAACACCGGUGGCGAAAGCGGCUCUCUGGUCUGUAACUGACGCUGAGGCUCGAAAGCGUGGGGAGCAAACAGGAUUAGAUACCCUGGUAGUCCACGCCGUAAACGAUGAGUGCUAGGUGUUAGGCCCUUUCCGGGGCUUAGUGCCGCAGCUAACGCAUUACGCACUCCGCCUGGGGAGUACGACCGCAAGGUUGAAACUCAAAGGAAUUGACGGGGGCCCGCACAAGCGGUGGAGCAUGUGGUUUAA
Molecule: ribosomal RNA, 916 nt
Filed under: Streptococcus lutetiensis
Lineage: Bacteria; Bacillati; Bacillota; Bacilli; Lactobacillales; Streptococcaceae
Description: bacterial SSU rRNA
Rfam family: Bacterial small subunit ribosomal RNA
Source: RNAcentral